GUAAUUGAUUUCACAGGGGACGGGGAAGGAGAGAAAGAACUUCGGCGAGUGAUGGAUGUGCGGAAGGGUGAAUAAUCGCCCGAGGCCGGGAGAGCCCCCCCAGGCAAACGAAACGAACGAAUUAAGGAAGGAGAAAGGGACGCCCGGGGGUGGGGGGGCGGUAUCGAGGUGAGGUCUGCCCGCAGCCGUCGCUCGAUCCGAUUUUAGGAAAUCGGGAAGAUGUUGCAAGUUCCUGAAAGCGCUGCUCGAAACGCAGCCUUUGGAGGAAGGGCAGCGUUUGCUGGGACUCUGCCAAAGUGCCAGGCGUGCCACUUUUGUCCCCGGUUCCCGCAGGAGGGCUUUGUGUUUCGCAGCAGCUGCCGGGCCGGGGGCAGCUCGCAGCGCUCCUGGGAGCCUCGAGCUCCGGAGAAGGGCGGUGUCCGAGGGGGAGCCCUCGAAAUUCAGCAAAGCAGAGGGAAACGGGAGCGGAGGGUGGAGGUCAGGCCCCGGUUGGGCUGUCCCUCUCGGCUAGCAGGAGGCAGAUGCACCGGAUCAAUGAGAAAACCUGAGAAAGGGUCGCAGACCUUUGUGAGAGGGGAGAGAGGGAGUCUCGUCUCCACUGCCAUCUAACAGGGCUUUUCUCAGCCCCUAACCCCGAGCUGGUGUAGGGCUGAGCCACUGCUUUGGGAACGAGCCUGGUCCUGCAGCUGCUUGAGGAUGGAUGAGGUGGAUCACAAGUUUCAAGGCUGUGAGGAGCACAUAAGGCUGAGCUGGCUGACCUGGGACAACUCUGCCACCAGGCUAUCCAUUUGUAGGGCCACUGGAUGCACCUCAGAAGGUCUCAAACCCCAUCUGCCCCAUAUGUGAGAGGGCUGGAGAAGAGGCUCAGGCCCAUCUCUGGAGAAGGAUGAAGGCAGCUGCAGCCUCGGGGGAUUGGAAGGCCUCUGCUUGGGCGCAGCCCCCCGGACCCGCUGGCCCCAGCCUUUGCUCCCUCCCUCCCUUCCCAGCUCCUCCUAACCACAAGGACUUUGGUUGAUGGAGCUGGCGCCAGCGAGUUCCCUGAAGAGUUCAGAAGUCAAGAACUGAGGCAGACAGGUGCAGGAGGAGGUGGUGGUGGCUGUGGUGGGCAUGGAGGCACAGCAUAGGCAGGGACAAAGCAGGACACAGCCAGGAGCAGCAGGCACCCCUUCAGCCCUCACCCAGGAGCGAGCAGCUGGGACCAGUUUGUGCCUUGGGCAAUGAGGCCCCACGGCAAAACCUCACAGCACAGGAAGGUAGGCCUGGGCCCCCACCACCUCCUCCUAUGCUCCCCCCUCCAAGGGCAGCUCCCUCCAGGCCUGGGCAUCUGUGGGGACCUUCCACCUGUGCCUCCACUGAGGGGGUUUGGAAAUAGGGGCACGUCCUCCCGCUCGACUUUUGAGAGGUGCUGAGAUUUGAAAUUGAGAAAACCCAUCUGGAGAAAGGGGAGAGGCACAGGUCCAGCAGAGCCAUUGCUGCUCUCGUUUCUCACCAACUCCAGGACCAAAAGCCCCCUCCUGCCCCACAC
RNAcentral lists this long non-coding RNA (1525 nucleotides) under Gallus gallus (chicken). RNAcentral describes it as "lncRNA (ENSGALG00010022894.1)". The record is from RNAcentral. Lineage: Eukaryota; Metazoa; Chordata; Aves; Galliformes; Phasianidae.